GACGAACGCUGGCGGCGUGCCUAAUACAUGCAAGUCGAGCGCAGGAAACUGACGGAACUCUUCGGAGGGAAGGCAGCGGAAUGAGCGGCGGACGGGUGAGUAACACGUAAGGAACCUGCCUCAAGGAUUGGGAUAACUCCGAGAAAUCGGAGCUAAUACCGGAUAGUUCAACGGACCGCAUGGUCCGCUGAUGAAAGGCGCUUCGGCGUCACCUUGAGAUGGCCUUGCGGUGCAUAGCUAGUUGGUGGGGUAACGGCUCACCAAGGCGACGAUGCAUAGCCGACCUGAGAGGGUGAUCGGCCACACUGGGACUGAGACACGGCCCAGACUCCUACGGGAGGCAGCAGUAGGGAAUCUUCCACAAUGGACGAAAGUCUGAUGGAGCAACGCCGCGUGAGUGAUGAAGGUUUUCGGAUCGUAAAACUCUGUUGUAAGGGAAGAACACGUACGAGAGGGAAUGCUCGUACCUUGACGGUACCUUACGAGAAAGCCACGGCUAACUACGUGCCAGCCGCCGCCGUAA
This 523-nucleotide ribosomal RNA is filed under the name uncultured bacterium. RNAcentral describes it as "partial 16S ribosomal RNA". It matches the Rfam family "Bacterial small subunit ribosomal RNA", at positions 28 to 523 of the family's 1533-position model. The record is from RNAcentral.